Long non-coding RNA from Triticum aestivum (bread wheat), 1002 nucleotides. RefSeq lists it as uncharacterized. The record is from RefSeq and is a predicted model, not a curated record. The transcript has 2 exons. Lineage: Eukaryota; Viridiplantae; Streptophyta; Magnoliopsida; Poales; Poaceae.
GAUGCAUUUAAAACUCACUUAGAAUGCGCUCAUGCUUGUUGCAUGAUAGAUGAUUCUCAUGCAUAGAUCGAACGGAUGCUAGUGGUACUGGAUCAAGCUAGUAACUCACUUAGAAGUUUGUUUUAUCACUCUCAUUUUUUUAAGCAACUUUUUUUUAGCAAACCACUCUCAUGUAUAUUAGGAUGAUGAGCUGGCAGCUCAAAAAAAAUAGGAUGAUGAGCUGGCGUCAUAGGUUUUUUUUAGGACUAGCUGGCGUCAUAGGUGAAGCCUAACAUGACACAGCCCAGGGCCCAGGCCCAGUUAAAACACGACCCAGCAGUUCAGCAGGUGCGUAAACGCUCUCCGAAGGCGGAGACGCCUCCUCCUCUACGGUUCUCACUCCUCUCCUCCGUGACCUCUCUGUCCAUGGCCGCCACGAGGAAGCUCGGCAGCUCGCCGGCGGCGGCGGCGGCGAAUGGGAAGGCGUAGGCGAAGGAAGACGACGAGGAGGGGCUCUUCUCCUCGCGCUCCUUCGCCGACCUCGGCCUCCACCCCACCCUCUGCGCCCUUCUCCAAGGAGGCUCCUCAUCUGAUCUGAGCAAAGAGGCAAAGUAGGGAAGCACACACCUUGGUUAUUAAGCAGCAGCAGCAACAGAUCCAAUGCUUUGAGAGAGGAGUAGUGAGGGUGUGGACUAUGAAAGAUGAGUAGCGAGGUUGCGGUGUUGAUGUGAAGUAAAUUUGUCGUUCCUCUACCUUAUAGCUUUGUUCCCAACGUCAUAAGAUUGUGACAGAGAAUGGUCCAGAUUACAAGCAAUUACCCUGUCGAUUAGUCCUAGGCCCGGCCGCGCAUCAGACCUAUAAAAAAGGGUUUAUUAGGAGCGCUGGCAUGGGUUUUCAAUCAUUAUUAAGGUUCCUAAUUAAAUCGUUAAAGAAUCCAAGGUAAUCAAAAAAAGGAGAUGCACUAUUCAAAUAUUUUUUCUUUCUUUUCUUUUCCACUUGAUAAUUGAUAUAUAUAUAAUGGUA